CAUGUAGGCGGUUCUGUAAGUCUGGCGUGAAAUGGUUCGGCUUAACCGGAUCCUGCGUCGGAAACUGUGGGACUAGAAUCACUGAGGGGAAAUCAGAAUUCCAGGUGUAGGGGUGAAAUCUGUAGAUAUCUGGAAGAAUACCGGUGGCGAAGGCGGAUUUCUGGCAGAUGAUUGACGCUGAGGUGCGAAAGUGCGGGGAGCAAACAG
This 207-nucleotide ribosomal RNA is filed under the name uncultured bacterium. RNAcentral's name for it is "partial 16S ribosomal RNA". It matches the Rfam family "Bacterial small subunit ribosomal RNA", at positions 568 to 775 of the family's 1533-position model. The record is from RNAcentral.